UGACAUUUCAGAUAACUGCCAAACAGAAAGGCUAAAAACGCGACUGUCAUUGAGUCAGUUCUCGCUCUGCGUGCAUCUACUGUUGUUUUAGACUUUCAUUUUCGUUGGCACGGAAAACUUUUAACGAGUCCGGAAAUCGUCGUUCUGCGUGCAUCAAGAUAAAGUAUUUACGGUUGUGUUUGCAUACAAAGAUGUGCGGCGGCUUUACGUGCUCCAAGAAUGCGCUCAUAGCGCUCAACAUCCUUUACGUGCUCGUGGGAUUUCUUUUAAUUGGCGUCGGAGUCUACGGAAGGGCUGCAUCGAUCGUAACGAACUUGCCCAUCAUUGGAGGCAUUUUGGCCUGCGGAAUAAUCCUGAUCCUGAUCUCGAUGCUGGGACUGGCAGGAGCUAUUAAACAUCACCAGGUCAUGCUGUUUUUCUACAUGAUCAUCUUAUUCCUGCUUUUCCUCAUCCAAUUUUCCAUUGCUUGCUCCUGCCUUGCCGUAAACUCUGAGCAACAAAAGCAUUUCGCUGAGGAAGGUUGGAAUCGUGUUCCCGUUGACAUAAAGAAAGAAGUACAAGAUACAUUCCUAUGUUGUGGCUUCAACUCUACAACUACCGAUGACCAUCCAUCUUGCGAAAUUGUUAAUCGUUCCUGUUGUUUCGAUUCAAAAAUAAAUGAAUGUUCGUGUAUGCCAUGCUUGCCUGUUCUGGAAGACAAAAUCAACUAUGCUUUUAAAUUGUGCGGCGGAAUCGGGUUGUUCUUCAGUUUCACGGAGUUUGUUGGUGUUUGGCUAACAGUUCGUUAUCGUAAUCAGAAAGAUCCACGUGGACUUCCAAGUGCUUUUCUUUAAGCCCAGUGUCUUAAAGAAAACGUUUGUUAUAACAUAAUUUUUAAGUCUAACGGUGAUGAUAUGCUUUUUUGUAUGAAUGGAAGUGGAAUCUGACGUAGUCUUUAAAACCUAACAUCUUAUUUAACUCAUACUACCAUUGAACGAACACACACAUCGCUAACUGAAUGGAAAUAUUCAUUUUGGAUCAUUUCAUAAUAUCAGGGUUGUGGUUCUUGCUGUUUUUCUAACAUGGCGUUAUCGUAAUCAACAAAAUCCUUAUUAUGAUUUACCAGCCCGUGCAAUUUUUCCACGAAACUACCGAUAUUAGAUCUUCAACGGAAUCGAAUACUUCGCAAUUUCAUAGUCAAACGUCCAAGGCUGAUUUUUUUGCAUACAUUAAUUUUACCAUAUUUUGUAAGUAGUUACAAUCGAACAAUUUUGUUUACUAUUUUCUUAGUGUGACUUACUUUAUUUUUAUAACUAAAACAAUUGGGACAAUAUGAAGGUGUUGUUUCGUAAUUUUCGGUCAUAAUUUUCUAAGGCAGGACAUGCAUUGAAUAGUUACAAAUUCAAUGGUACAAAUGAAAACUCGAAAAAAUCUUUGCAAUAAGCUUAUUCGAACUUUGAGUAACUUAAGAAGUUUCCUGUUGAAAAGUGUCUUUAAUCGAAUUCUAGGUUCCAAUCAGGGCUACUGAAUAGAACAUACCAAAGAGUUCCCAACUUGCGUUUAUAAUUCCAUUCUGCAUCGCCACAUCCGAGAAAUCGUCGUCUUAAACUACAUAAGAUCUACUGCCUUACUAGUCGUAAACAUACAAUUCAGCCUUUACGGCAGCACUCGAACAAAGCUUGUCCUUGCUUGUAGAAUCUCGGCGAGAUUGGGUUUUUAAUUAUCUCCCUAAAUUCCAAUUGCUCGGUGUUAAGAAAUUUUUAUUGACUUUGAUUCACUACUCCUGACGACCUGAUUUCUUGCGAGCAAUUAUGGGAAUGGUUCCAAUAUCCUCCACACCAUCUCACUAUAUUCCUGAAAACUAUAAUACGCCAUUCUAGGAAACAAUUUUACAUAACUGCAAUGCCUGAUAAAAUCAUUACGUAUAUACAAAAAUGAGCUUAUUUUUUCCUUAUACCAUUUGAAUCUCUUCAAAUAAGUCUACAUAACUAAAUAUACAUAUUUACCAGUUGCAAUAAAAAUAGCCGCAUAUAUAAAUUUCUUCCUACAUACUUAUACAUACACGGAUACUAAUUACCUAUAUCCAUAUAAUUUUACUUGUAUUUAUUCGAAUAGUAAGUUUUACAUUUUUUUCGGUUGUGCUUUCGAAUGUAACAGUUUUUUGCUCAACAGUUCAACAACAAUCUGAAAAAAUAAAAUAUGUAAGUCUUACAAAUGUAAAAUGUAAAGAAUUGUAUAUUUAAAAAUAAUAUUGCUGUGAUUGUUUAUUGCGAACAGGUUAUUGAAUUAAAAUAAAGUAGAACUAUUAGGAUAU
Molecule: RNA transcript, 2293 nt
Organism: Hermetia illucens (black soldier fly)
Lineage: Eukaryota; Metazoa; Arthropoda; Insecta; Diptera; Stratiomyidae
Gene: Tsp97E
Gene name: tetraspanin-13
Exons: 5
Source: RefSeq, a predicted model, not a curated record